CCACAAGCCAUUUGGAUAUUCAUGCACCGAGGUGAAUGAACUGUCUGCAACUGAUAUGACUACAGGAAGAGAUCGCAUCAACUUCCCAAGUUGGGUCCACUCAAGAGCGAAGAAUCAGGUGUUGACAGCAAACUCUGGACAGACUCAAGGA
Molecule: long non-coding RNA, 151 nt
Organism: Frankliniella occidentalis (western flower thrips)
Lineage: Eukaryota; Metazoa; Arthropoda; Insecta; Thysanoptera; Thripidae
Exons: 3
Source: RefSeq, a predicted model, not a curated record